UAACGCGUGGGAAUCUGCCCUCAGGUUCGGAAUAACGACGGGAAACUGUCGCUAAUACCGGAUACGCCCUUAGGGGGAAAGAUUUAUCGCUGAUAGAUGAGCCCGCAUACGAUUAGCUAGUUGGUGAGGUAAUGGCUCACCAAGGCUACGAUCGUUAGCUGGUCUGAGAGGAUGAUCAGCCACACUGGGACUGAGACACGGCCCAGACUCCUACGGGAGGCAGCAGUGGGGAAUAUUGGACAAUGGGCGAAAGCCUGAUCCAGCAAUGCCGCGUGAGUGAUGAAGGCCUUAGGGUUGU
Molecule: ribosomal RNA, 298 nt
Filed under: uncultured Sphingomonadaceae bacterium
Lineage: Bacteria; Pseudomonadati; Pseudomonadota; Alphaproteobacteria; Sphingomonadales; Sphingomonadaceae
Description: partial 16S ribosomal RNA
Rfam family: Bacterial small subunit ribosomal RNA
Source: RNAcentral